RNAcentral lists this small nuclear RNA (109 nucleotides) under Suricata suricatta (meerkat). Its description in RNAcentral is "U2 spliceosomal RNA (ENSSSUG00005006203.1)". It matches the Rfam family "U2 spliceosomal RNA". From Rfam's summary of the family: U2 is a small nuclear RNA (snRNA) component of the spliceosome (involved in pre-mRNA splicing). Complementary binding between U2 snRNA (in an area lying towards the 5' end but 3' to hairpin I) and the branchpoint sequence (BPS) of the intron results the bulging out of an unpaired adenosine, on the BPS, which initiates a nucleophilic attack at the intronic 5' splice site, thus starting the first of two transesterification reactions that mediate splicing. Lineage: Eukaryota; Metazoa; Chordata; Mammalia; Carnivora; Herpestidae. The record is from Rfam by way of RNAcentral.
AUUGCUUCUCGGCCUUUUGGCUAAGAUCAAGUGUAGUAUCUGUUAUUAUCAGUUUAAUAUAAGGUACAUAUACUAACAGACUUUAUAAAAAAGUUAGCCAGUAAUUAUU